UCCGAUUUGGCACCGGCGGUCUCCCAUGAGUCCCCGGCAUGACCCGCUGGCAACAUGGGACAGGGGUUGCGCUCGUUGCGCCACUUAAGGCAACACCUCACGGCACGAGCUGACGACAGCCAUGCAGCACCUGUGCGGGCCCCCGAAGGAGCACCGUGUUUCCACGGCUUCGCCCUGCAUGUCAAGCCCAGGUAAGGUUCUUCGCGUUGCAUCGAAUUAAGCCACAUGCUCCGCCGCUUGUGCGGGUCCCCGUCAAUUCCUUUGAGUUUUAGCCUUGCGGCCGUACUCCCCAGGCGGGGCGCUUAAUGCGUUAGCUGCGGCACAGACUCCGUGGAAUGGAGCCCACACCUAGCGCCCAACGUUUACGGCGUGGACUAC
This 378-nucleotide unclassified non-coding RNA is filed under the name uncultured Actinomycetes bacterium. RNAcentral's name for it is "uncultured actinobacterium contains 16S-23S intergenic spacer region". The record is from RNAcentral. Lineage: Bacteria; Bacillati; Actinomycetota; Actinomycetes.